UACAGAGGUCUCAAGCGUUGUUCGGAUUCAUUGGGCGUAAAGGGUGCGUAGGCGGCGCGGUAAGUCGGGUGUGAAAUCUCGGAGCUUAACUCCGAAACUGCAUUCGAUACUGCUGUGCUUGAGGACUGGAGAGGAGACUGGAAUUUACGGUGUAGCGGUGAAAUGCGUAGAUAUCGUAAGGAAGACCAGUGGCGAAGGCGGGUCUCUGGACAGUUCCUGACGCUGAGGCGCGAAGGUCAGGGGAGCAAACGGG
This 253-nucleotide ribosomal RNA is filed under the name uncultured bacterium. Its description in RNAcentral is "partial 16S ribosomal RNA". It matches the Rfam family "Bacterial small subunit ribosomal RNA", at positions 524 to 776 of the family's 1533-position model. The record is from RNAcentral.